GGGCCCGCACAAGCGGUGGAGUAUGUGGUUUAAUUCGAUGCAACGCGAAGAACCUUACCUACACUUGACAUGCUGAGAAGUUACUAGAGAUAGUUUCGUGCCUUCGGGAACUCAGACACAGGUGCUGCAUGGCUGUCGUCAGCUCGUGUCGUGAGAUGUUGGGUUAAGUCCCGCAACGAGCGCAACCCUUGUCCUUAGUUGCCAGCGAGUAAUGUCGGGAACUCUAGCAAGACUGCCGGUGCAAACCGUGAGGAAGGUGGGGAUGACGUCAAAUCAUCACGGCCCUUACGUCCUGGGCCACACACGUGCUACAAUGCUACGGACAAAGGGCAGCAAGUUCGCGAGGACAAGCAAAUCCCAUAAACCGUGGCUCAGUUCAGAUCGUAGGCUGCAACUCGCCUACGUGAAGGCGGAAUCGCUAGUAAUCG
RNAcentral lists this ribosomal RNA (428 nucleotides) under uncultured bacterium. RNAcentral describes it as "bacterial SSU rRNA". It matches the Rfam family "Bacterial small subunit ribosomal RNA", at positions 917 to 1344 of the family's 1533-position model. The record is from RNAcentral.